This 785-nucleotide ribosomal RNA is filed under the name Salmonella enterica subsp. enterica serovar Bareilly. RNAcentral's name for it is "partial 23S ribosomal RNA". It matches the Rfam family "Bacterial large subunit ribosomal RNA", at positions 648 to 1433 of the family's 2925-position model. Lineage: Bacteria; Pseudomonadati; Pseudomonadota; Gammaproteobacteria; Enterobacterales; Enterobacteriaceae. The record is from RNAcentral.
AACCGAAUAGGGGAGCCGGAGGGAAACCGAGUCUUAAUUGGGCGUUAAGUUGCAGGGUAUAGACCCGAAACCCGGUGAUCUAGCCAUGGGCAGGUUGAAGGUUGGGUAACACUAACUGGAGGACCGAACCGACUAAUGUUGAAAAAUUAGCGGAUGACCUGUGGCUGGGGGUGAAAGGCCAAUCAAACCGGGAGAUAGCUGGUUCUCCCCGAAAGCUAUUUAGGUAGCGCCUCGUGAAUUCAUCUCCGGGGGUAGAGCACUGUUUCGGCUAGGGGGCCAUCCCGGCUUACCAACCCGAUGCAAACUGCGAAUACCGGAGAAUGUUAUCACGGGAGACACACGGCGGGUGCUAACGUCCGUCGUGAAGAGGGAAACAACCCAGACCGCCAGCUAAGGUCCCAAAGUCAUGGUUAAGUGGGAAACGAUGUGGGAAGGCCCAGACAGCCAGGAUGUUGGCUUAGAAGCAGCCAUCAUUUAAAGAAAGCGUAAUAGCUCACUGGUCGAGUCGGCCUGCGCGGAAGAUGUAACGGGGCUAAACCAUGCACCGAAGCUGCGGCAGCGACACUGUGUGUUGUUGGGUAGGGGAGCGUUCUGUAAGCCUGUGAAGGUGUGUCGUGAGGCAUGCUGGAGGUAUCAGAAGUGCGAAUGCUGACAUAAGUAACGAUAAAGCGGGUGAAAAGCCCGCUCGCCGGAAGACCAAGGGUUCCUGUCCAACGUUAAUCGGGGCAGGGUGAGUCGACCCCUAAGGCGAGGCCGAAAGGCGUAGUCGAUGGGAAACGGGUUAA